RNAcentral lists this ribosomal RNA (278 nucleotides) under uncultured bacterium. RNAcentral describes it as "partial 16S ribosomal RNA". It matches the Rfam family "Bacterial small subunit ribosomal RNA", at positions 77 to 353 of the family's 1533-position model. The record is from RNAcentral.
CAAACUGGAGAUGGCGACCGGCGCACGGGUGAGUAACACGUAUCCAACCUGCCGAUAACUCGGGGAUAGCCUUUCGAAAGAAAGAUUAAUACCCGAUGGCAUAAUAGAACCGCAUGGUUUGAUUAUUAAAGAAUUUCGGUUAUCGAUGGGGAGUGCGUUCCAUUAGGCAGUUGGUGGGGUAACGGCCCACCAAACCUUCGAUGGAUAGGGGUUCUGAGAGGAAGGUCCCCCACCAUUGGAACUGAGACACGGUCCAAACUCCUACGGGAGGCAGCAUG